RNAcentral lists this long non-coding RNA (824 nucleotides) under Nicotiana tabacum (common tobacco). RNAcentral's name for it is "long non-coding RNA (NTAB_LNC013847)". The record is from RNAcentral. Lineage: Eukaryota; Viridiplantae; Streptophyta; Magnoliopsida; Solanales; Solanaceae.
CGAGAAUAAUGAAAAUCAGGAAUAAUAAUCUGCCAAAACCUUUGGGAAAAAAUACACAUUCAAUUAGUUUCAAUAAUAAAUGCUGCAAAUUCUAUAGGAAAAUAUACAGUACCUCUCCAUCAUUGGCAAUGACUAAGACAAGUGAAAGAUGGAUUUGCAAAGUACAGAAAAACUAAAAGAUGAUAUGAUUACUUCAGAAAUAAAUGCUCUGAACAUACAUAUCAAAUAAAGAAGAAACCAUAUCCUUUUGAUCAGUGACAAUUUGAGAAUUUAAAGUCAAACAUAUUCAGAACAAUUGUGAUCUUAUUAUGUAUAAAUUUUAAACCUUUUUGUAGAUGUAAACAUAAUUCGAGCAAAAAAUAAUUAGUUCAAUCCAACAAUAGAACCUGUCCUAAAUCCGUCUCUAUAUUUCCAUACUAAAACAUAGAGAGAAAAAAUUAAUAGAAGAUGAAGAAAGAUAUAUAAAGAAAAAGAAUACCAAACAAUAAAAACAAACUCAGUAUAAUUUUACAAGUGGGGUUUGAGAAUGGUAAUAUGUACGCAUACCUUACCCAUACCUUGCGAAGGUAGAAAUACUGUUUUUAAUAAACAGUCGGCUCAAGGAACAACAAAAAAGAAAAAAUAAUACCAUAAAAGUUAAAACCUACCUUUGCAAAUACUAGCCAAUGAGAAACCACAUGGGAAACAAAUUCCUGUUGUUUUCUUCUUCUUUCUUGUUUAUUUGUGGUGAAGAAGGAGUUGAAGGUUUAAGUUUUGUAUGAGAAGAGAGGAAAGAAGAAAGGAAACACUCAAUAUAAAGAUAGAACUUCUUCUCUCUGAUUGAA